GUUUCUAUGAAUCUAAAAUCCACUCUCACAAGUCUUAUUUGUUCUCCAUGGUUAUUUAUAGAACUUGAGAAACCCUCCCAUUUUCAAGGAUCCUAUAUUUAACCGUCCCAACUAUAUAAAUAUGCACAAUCUCAUUUCCCCUUUCAAUUAACCUCUAUCAAUUCAACAUUCUCUAAUACAAUAACAUCCGAGACCUUUCUCAUACCGAGAAACAAAAUGGCGUUCAACAUCAAGCUUCUUAUGGCCAUGUGCUCCGUCGCAUUGUUCUUCACUCUUGUCUUUGCAGACCUUUCCAAAGAAGAUAUGGAUGGCUUCGUGGAGGAACACAACAAGGCCCGCGCCCAGGUCGGCAACCGUCCACUCAAAUGGAACGCGACCCUAGCCAAAUAUGCCCAAGAUUAUGCAGACAAGAGAGUUGAUGACUGCGCCAUGGAGCACUCAAUGGGGCCUUAUGGUGAGAACUUGGCCUCAGGAGAAGGCAUAUCUGGAGCAGCUGCCGCCAAGUAUUGGGUCACUGAGAAGGAGUUUUAUGACUACGAGCUAAACAAAUGCGUCCGAGACGAAUGUGGACAUUACCUUGGUGUGAUUUGGGGCAAAACCACCGAAGUUGGUUGUGGCAUUUCAAAGUGCAAGAAUGGACAAAACUAUGUCAUCUGCAACUAUGAUCCUGCUUAUAAUGAGGAGGACCAUCCCUACUAGACACUAAAUUUACAUGUCACACAAACAUACGUGCACACCUCGACUAGGCCUGUUUGGGGGUCUUGUAUUUUUGUUGUUGAGAAAUUAGAAGAAUAAGAGGGGAUAGAGGCGAUUUACAUGUAACGGGUGUGUACGAAUUUACCUCCUCACCCUCACAACAUUCUUUUACGUGACUAUUGAUUAUAAGAGGAGAUGGCAUAUAUAAAAAAUAAGUAAAAAUUAUUUCAUUUUUUGUAUGUUUUUAUGUCAUUGUCUUUAUUUUUAAUUGUCAUCAACCUCUCUUUAAUUAAUACUAAUUAACUCUUGAUUUUGGGCUAGUGAUACUUCUCUUCCUAAAACUCAAAGAGAUUUG
This 1051-nucleotide long non-coding RNA is filed under the name Prunus dulcis (almond). Its description in RNAcentral is "sRNA ncRNA". Lineage: Eukaryota; Viridiplantae; Streptophyta; Magnoliopsida; Rosales; Rosaceae. The record is from RNAcentral.